AGGGGAAUAGCUAAGCGGGUCAAGGCACCGGAGCUCCCGGAUAACGAAGGUUCGAAUCCUUCUUCCCCUG
RNAcentral lists this transfer RNA (70 nucleotides) under Candidatus Tremblaya princeps PCIT. RNAcentral describes it as "tRNA-Und (NNN) (tRNA-Und-NNN-2-1)". It matches the Rfam family "tRNA". Rfam says of the family: Transfer RNA (tRNA) molecules are approximately 80 nucleotides in length. Lineage: Bacteria; Pseudomonadati; Pseudomonadota; Betaproteobacteria. RNAcentral also lists the same sequence under 1 other name. The record is from RNAcentral.